UGCUUUUGUUUGAAGGAGAAAGAAGGAAUUGAAACCAGGUCGAUUGAGUAGUAAAACACUAACCAGAGAAUGCACGUCCGGUCUGCAGCCUCUAAUUUUAUAAUAUUUAGUUCCCCUUUUGUCCUCAAUAUCAAGCUCAGAGGAAGGAGUACAAUUGUGUCAAUUGAACUGUCUAUGAUAUAUGUUUAUGCACUCUUACAGUUUGGUUGUUUGAGUUUCAUGAAACUGAGUUGCUCUUAGAUAAAAUCUGGGCAGCGGACAUAUUGGACAUAGUCUAUUGUUGGCCUAACGAGGUUUGCAAUGUAUGGCAUUCUGAUACCCUAAUUCCUUACUCUUUAAAGGUGAAAUUUGUUGUUUUAAUCUUCCUCUUUAUCACUUGGUUUGAAGGGUUGGACAUUUUGCAUAUUAAUGUUAACUGGAUCUGUAUCCAAGGGAAUUAAGGAAGUUUUGGUGUUAUUUUGAGUGCAGAGACAAAUAAAUAUCAAUCAAUGUGUGUGCGUGUG
This 503-nucleotide unclassified non-coding RNA is filed under the name Hevea brasiliensis (rubber tree). Lineage: Eukaryota; Viridiplantae; Streptophyta; Magnoliopsida; Malpighiales; Euphorbiaceae. The record is from RNAcentral.